Molecule: ribosomal RNA, 497 nt
Filed under: uncultured bacterium
Lineage: Bacteria
Description: partial 16S ribosomal RNA
Rfam family: Bacterial small subunit ribosomal RNA
Source: RNAcentral
GAUGAACGCUGGCGGCGUGCCUAAUACAUGCAAGUCGAGCGAACAGACGAGGAGCUUGCUCCUCUGACGUUAGCGGCGGACGGGUGAGUAACACGUGGAUAACCUACCUAUCAGACUGGGAUAACUUCGGGAAACCGGAGCUAAUACCGGAUAAUAUAUUGAACCGCAUGGUUCAAUAGUGAAAGACGGUUUUGCUGUCACUUAUAGAUGGAUCCGCGCCGCAUUAGCUAGUUGGUAAGGUAACGGCUUACCAAGGCGACGAUGCGUAGCCGACCUGAGAGGGGGAUCGGCCACACUAGAACGGAGACAAGGUCCAGACGACUACGAGAGGCAGCAGUAGGGAAUCGUACGCAAUAGGCGGAAGCCUGACGGAGCAGCGCCGCGUGAGUGAUGAAGGUCUUCGGAGCGUAAAAAUCUGUUAUGAGGGAAGAACAAAUGUGUAAGUAACUAUGCACGGCUUGACGGUACCUAAUCAGAAAGCCACGGCUAACUACGUG